This 253-nucleotide ribosomal RNA is filed under the name uncultured bacterium. Its description in RNAcentral is "partial 16S ribosomal RNA". It matches the Rfam family "Bacterial small subunit ribosomal RNA", at positions 524 to 776 of the family's 1533-position model. The record is from RNAcentral.
UACGUAGGUGGCAAGCGUUAUCCGGAAUUACUGGGCGUAAAGCGCGCGCAGGCGGUCUUUUAAGUUUGACGUGAAAGCUCCCGGCUUAACUGGGAGAGGUCGUUGAAUACUGGAAGACUUGAGGCAAUGAGAGGGGUGUAGAAUUCCCGGUGUAGUGGUGGAAUGCGUAGAUAUCGGGGGGAAUACCAGUGGCGAAAGCGGCACCCUAGCGUUAGCCUGACGCUCAUGUGCAAAAGCGUGGGGAGCGAACGGG